AGAGUUUGAUCCUGGCUCAGAUUGAACGCUGGCGGCAUGCCUUACACAUGCAAGUCGAACGGCAGCACGGGAGCAAUCCUGGUGGCGAGUGGCGAACGGGUGAGUAAUAUAUCGGAACGUGCCCAGUCGUGGGGGAUAACGCAGCGAAAGCUGUGCUAAUACCGCAUACGAUCUCUGGAUGAAAGCGGGGGACUCGCAAGGGCCUCGCGCGAUUGGAGCGGCCGAUAUCAGAUUAGCUAGUUGGUGGGGUAAAAGCCCACCAAGGCGACGAUCUGUAGCUGGUCUGAGAGGACGACCAGCCACACUGGAACUGAGACACGGUCCAGACUCCUACGGGAGGCAGCAGUGGGGAAUUUUGGACAAUGGGCGCAAGCCUGAUCCAGCAAUGCCGCGUGCAGGAUGAAGGCCUUCGGGUUGUAAACUGCUUUUGUACGGAACGAAAACGGCGAGCUUCUUAAUAAAAGCUUGCGAAAUGACGGAACCGU
This 485-nucleotide ribosomal RNA is filed under the name uncultured bacterium. RNAcentral describes it as "bacterial SSU rRNA". It matches the Rfam family "Bacterial small subunit ribosomal RNA", at positions 8 to 481 of the family's 1533-position model. The record is from RNAcentral.